Sphaeroforma arctica JP610 is the source of this 72-nucleotide non-coding RNA. The record is from Rfam. Lineage: Eukaryota; Ichthyosporea; Ichthyophonida.
CGCCCAUUCGUCUAUCGGCUAGGAUAUUUGCUUUUCACGCAAGAGGGCAGGGUUCGAUUCCCUGAUGGGCAA